RNAcentral lists this ribosomal RNA (445 nucleotides) under uncultured bacterium. RNAcentral describes it as "partial 16S ribosomal RNA". It matches the Rfam family "Bacterial small subunit ribosomal RNA", at positions 354 to 796 of the family's 1533-position model. The record is from RNAcentral.
GUGAGGAAUAUUGCGCAAUGGAGGCAACUCUGACGCAGCCAUGCCGCGUGCAGGAAGAAGGCGCUACGCGUUGUAAACUGCUUUUAACCGGGAAGAAACCCCAGGACGUGUCCUGGGUUGACGGUACCGGAGGAAUAAGCACCGGCUAACUUCGUGCCAGCAGCCGCGGUAAUACGAAGGGUGCAAGCGUUAUCCGGAUUCAUUGGGUUUAAAGGGUGCGUAGGCGGAGCGUUAAGUCAGUGGUGAAAUCCUGCAGCUUAGCUGUAGACUUGCCAUUGAUACUGGCGCUCUUGAGUGCGCUUGAAGUGGGCGGAAUGUGCCGUGUAGCGGUGAAAUGCUUAGAUAUGGCACAGAACACCAAUUGCGAAGGCAGCUCACUAAGGCGAUACUGACGCUGAGGCACGAAAGCGUGGGGAUCGAACAGGAUUAGAUACCCCGGUAGUCC